Molecule: long non-coding RNA, 1002 nt
Filed under: Zonotrichia albicollis (white-throated sparrow)
Lineage: Eukaryota; Metazoa; Chordata; Aves; Passeriformes; Passerellidae
Description: lncRNA (ENSZALG00000014766.1)
Source: RNAcentral
AUGGAAGGCAGAGGGAUUAGGGUGGAGGUGUGUGGAGAGCCGGGGGACUUCAGCAUCCUGUCAGACUUCGGGACCUGCCCCUUGUUGUUAACCCUUCCUACUCCAAAAGGGGGAAACCAACCCUCUUUCCCUGACAAAAUCAUCUCCCUCCCUGCCCAGGGCUGCUGCUCCCCCACCAGGGAAGGGGCACAGACCUGUCCAAGGGGAAGAGGUAAAGAUCUCAUCUGGCACCACCCUCUGUCCCUCUGCCUCAGGGAGGGAGAGGAACACCCCAUCUCUCCCCCCAGGGACUCUCCAGGGCAUCUCCAUUCCCUUCCCUUGGCCUUCUUCCCCUUUCCUGCCUUCCCUUCACAUCAUCCAGCACUUCAGCCCCUACUUCCACACCUUCAAACCUUUUGCAUCCCUAAAAAACUCCUGGGAGAAGGAGAAAAGAAAGGAAAAUCUCCGUUUAGCCGAGCUGAGCUGCAAAGCCUGGCAGUGGAGGAACGCAGCAGAGCAGCCUCUCAUCCCCAGCCAGCACUGCAGCAUCGCUGGCCAAAGGCAUCUGUGACAUCUCCAGUUAAACGGGGACGGGAGCAAAGGGGCAGCUGGGGCCUGAAAUGCAGCGUUUCAGCCGACAGGCGGCUAUGCUGGAUUAGCACCGUGCAUGCUCCGAAUGGAAAUCUCUUCCUUUCCCUCGGCAGCAUUUUGGGAGUUUGUUUUCCUUCAGGAAGGCUUCCCUGUUCCUCAGAGUCAAACCGAGAUUUCUUCCCUGUUUCUGUAGAUUGUCUCUCUCCAACCAUCACAGGUGUCUGCAGGAGAGGGGAAAGCAUUCAAGGGAGCCAGAGAGUGCCUGGCAAAAGGAGCCCAAACCGAAACCUGACCCUAAACCAAACCCUAAACCGAACUCAAACGCUAAUACUAACGCUUAUCCUAAUCUUAACCCUAACUGUAACAUUAGCCCUAAAACUAACCCUAAAUGUAACCCUAAACAUAACUCUAAACUUAACCCUAAUACUAACU